UGGGAGUUUCGGUCAUGGAGAAGAUGAUUGGGUCAGUUUUGACAGAAACCGACAAUGGACAUUGGGUGACUGAUGGUGGAGGAAUGCAGUUUUGGCGAAUCGAGUCUUGGUUUGGAAAAGAAGAAUGGUAAAAAUCUCGGGGUUGGAUAUGUUUUGCUUUGUGUUAUUGUACUAAUGAAGAUAUGGUUUUGGGAAUUGUUGAAUUGGAAUUAGUUGUGUUGCUUGAAUUAUAUUGGAACUUUGGUAUGGUAGUGAAAAGGGAAUUGAUAAUGGUUAAACGAAUAGAAAAGAGUAGUGAUGAUGAUAUGGUGCAAUGGUUAACCAGAUGGUGCUUUGCUUUAUUUUUGGUGACAUAACAUUAAUGAAAUUGCCAACUAUUUAUC
Rosa chinensis is the source of this 383-nucleotide long non-coding RNA. RefSeq lists it as uncharacterized. The record is from RefSeq and is a predicted model, not a curated record. Lineage: Eukaryota; Viridiplantae; Streptophyta; Magnoliopsida; Rosales; Rosaceae. The transcript is spliced from 2 exons.